Molecule: ribosomal RNA, 489 nt
Filed under: uncultured bacterium
Lineage: Bacteria
Description: partial 16S ribosomal RNA
Rfam family: Bacterial small subunit ribosomal RNA
Source: RNAcentral
UGGGGAAUAUUGCACAAUGGGCGAAGGCCUGAUGCAGCAACGCCGCGUGAGUGAUGAAGGUCUUCGGAUUGUAAGCUCUGUCUUUUGGGACGAUAAUGACGGUACCAAAGGAGGAAGCCACGGCUAACUACGUGCCAGCAGCCGCGGUAAUACGUAGGUGGCGAGCGUUGUCCGGAUUUACUGGGCGUAAAGGGUGCGUAGGCGGAUGUUUAAGUGAGAUGUGAAAUACCCGGGCUUAACUUGGGUGCUGCAUUUCAAACUGGAUAUCUAGAGUGCAGGAGAGGAGAAUGGAAUUCCUAGUGUAGCGGUGAAAUGCGUAGAGAUUAGGAAGAACACCAGUGGCGAAGGCGAUUCUCUGGACUGUAACUGACGCUGAGGCACGAAAGCGUGGGUAGCAAACAGGAUUAGAUACCCUGGUAGUCCACGCCGUAAACGAUGAGUACUAGGUGUAGGAGGUAUCGACCCCUUCUGUGCCGCAGUAAACACAUU